RNAcentral lists this transfer RNA (96 nucleotides) under Chloroflexota bacterium. RNAcentral's name for it is "Chloroflexi bacterium tRNA-Ile". Lineage: Bacteria; Bacillati; Chloroflexota. The record is from RNAcentral.
GGAGAGUGUUACCCGUCGGACGGGGCGAGGGCUGAUACCCCUCAGAGCGCCGGGCUAGCCCCCGGCGUUGCGGUUCGACUCCGCCACUCUCCGCCA